CCUACGGGAGGCAGCAGUGGGGAAUAUUGGGCAAUGGAGGAAACUCUGACCCAGCAAUGCCGCGUGAAUGAAGAAGGUCUUCGGAUUGUAAAGUUCUUUAGUCAGGGAAGAAGUCAAUGACGGUACCUGAAGAAUAAGCUCCGGCUAACUACGUGCCAGCAGCCGCGGUAAUACGUAGGGGGCAAGCGUUAUCCGGAUUUACUGGGUGUAAAGGGAGCGUAGACGGCUAAUCAAGUCAGAAGUGAAAACCCAGGGCUCAACUUUGGGACUGCUUUUGAAACUGAGUAGCUAGAGUGCAGGAGAGGUAAGCGGAAUUCCUAGUGUAGCGGUGAAAUGCGUAGAUAUUAGGAGGAACACCAGUGGCGAAGGCGGCUUACUGGACUGUAACUGACGUUGAGGCUCGAAAGCGUGGGGAGCAAACAGGAUUAGAUACCCCUGUAGUC
This 443-nucleotide ribosomal RNA is filed under the name uncultured bacterium. Its description in RNAcentral is "partial 16S ribosomal RNA". It matches the Rfam family "Bacterial small subunit ribosomal RNA", at positions 338 to 795 of the family's 1533-position model. The record is from RNAcentral.